CACUCCCCUGUUCCCUCAAUCUAGUCCAUGACAUUCCAGAAGAAUAUAGUUGUCAUUAUGGCUUCCUUAAGUUUUAAUUACUGUAGUAGCUUUUAAAUUAUGCCAUGACAACCCCGCUGUUGCAUACCUGGAUUUAGCAAAAUGUGAUGUGCGGGUGAGUUGUUCAAUGUACAAGGUCAUUUUUAAUAAAUUUUCACUACAGUUAAGAAGAUAGUGUUCCUGAUGUGGCUAAUGGAUAAGCUCCCACUUUUACUGGCCAUGCUAUGCAGAGACAUGGUAAGUUUAGCUUUUAAAAGCCCUUGAAGAGAGAAUGUCUAUCUCUGAUGCACAUAACUUUACUUUACUCCCUCUCUCAGUGUAGAAGAAUUUUAUUUUACUGACUUUGCCCUGGCUCCAAUGAAAGCUGCUGAUGUAGAAUUUCAAACCAAGCCAGGGCAUGCUAAUGUUCUGAGGAAUCCUGCUUCCAAAAGGUAUAAACAAAGAGAGAUGGUCCCUCAUGAAUGAAACAGGUAACUAUACACCACAAGAAAAGUCAAUUGCUUUAGAUAUACCAUUGAAGUAUGGAAUGCAUUUGUUGCUUUUCAAGCCCAGAAAUAAAAUGUCCAAAGAUAGAACAGAUGGUUGUAGUAUUUGAAGCAGGUUACGUAGCUGGGGGUGCUAUUGUCUCUCACCUGCUGAUUCUGUAGCAUCUGUGGUGAAUAAAGGCAGUGCCACUCAGCUUCCUCAGAGGAUUGGAUGUAGGCUGUGGGAGGACCGGGCUGUGUGGGUAUCAUCAUAAUUGGACCUCUGACUGAGCUACAGUGGUUUAUCGAAAACUCCAGAAGGUCCAUCUCAGCUUCCAUGCAUUUUGCCAUCUGAAAUUGGAGUCUUUG
RNAcentral lists this long non-coding RNA (872 nucleotides) under Homo sapiens (human). RNAcentral's name for it is "non-protein coding lnc-YES1-4:5". The record is from RNAcentral. Lineage: Eukaryota; Metazoa; Chordata; Mammalia; Primates; Hominidae.